This 714-nucleotide ribosomal RNA is filed under the name uncultured archaeon. RNAcentral describes it as "bacterial SSU rRNA". It matches the Rfam family "Archaeal small subunit ribosomal RNA", at positions 21 to 742 of the family's 1478-position model. The record is from RNAcentral.
CCUGACUGCUAUCGGAUUGAUACUAAGCCAUGCGAGUCAUUGUAGCAAUACAAGGCAGACGGCUCAGUAACGCGUAGUCAAUCUACCCUAUGGACGGAGAUAAGCUCGGGAAACUGAGAAUAAUAUCCGAUAGAACAUUAUGCCUGGAAUGGUUUAUGUUUCAAAUGAUUUAUCGCCAUAGGAUGGGACUGCGUCCUAUCAGUUUGUUGGUGAGGUAAUGGCCCACCAAGACUAUUACAGGUACGGGCUCUGAGAGGAGUAGCCCGGAGAUGGGUACUGAGACACGGACCCAGGCCCUAUGGGGCGCAGCAGGCGAGAAAACUUUGCAAUGUGCGAAAGCACGACAAGGUUAAUCCGAGUGGUUUCUGCUAAAGAAACCUUUUGUCAGUCCUAGAAACACUAACGAAUAAGGGGUGGGCAAGUUCUGGUGUCAGCCGCCGCGGUAAAACCAGCACCUCAAGUGGUCAGGAUGAUUAUUGGGCCUAAAGCAUCCGUAGCUUGCUUUGUAAGUUCUCGGUUAAAUCCAUACGCUUAACGUAUGGGCUGCCGGCAAUACUGCAAAGCUAGGGAGUGGGAGAGGUAGACGGUACUCGGUAGGAAGGGGUAAAAUCCUUUGAUCUAUUGAUGACCACCUGUGGCGAAGGCGGUCUACCAGAACACGUCCGACGGUGAGGGAUGAAAGCUGGGGGAGCAAACCGGAUUAGAUACCCGGGU